AUUGAACGCUGGCGGCAUGCCUUACACAUGCAAGUCGAACGGUAACAGGUCUUCGGAUGCUGACGAGUGGCGAACGGGUGAGUAAUACAUCGGAACGUGCCUAGUAGUGGGGGAUAACUACUCGAAAGAGUGGCUAAUACCGCAUGAGAUCCACGGAUGAAAGCAGGGGAUCGCAAGCCCUUGGGCUACUAGAGCGGCCGAUGGCAGAUUAGGUAGUUGGUGGGAUAAAAGCUUACCAAGCCGACGAUCUGUAGCUGGUCUGAGAGGACGAUCAGCCACACUGGGACUGAGACACGGCCCAGACUCCUACGGGAGGCAGCAGUGGGGAAUUUUGGACAAUGGGCGAAAGCCUGAUCCAGCAAUGCCGCGUGCAGGAUGAAGGCCUUCGGGUUGUAAACUGCUUUUGUACGGAACGAAAAGCCCCGGGUUAAUACCCUGGGGUCAUGACGGUACCGUAAGAAUAAGCACCGGCUAACUACGUGCCAGCAGCCGCGGUAA
RNAcentral lists this ribosomal RNA (498 nucleotides) under uncultured bacterium. Its description in RNAcentral is "partial 16S ribosomal RNA". It matches the Rfam family "Bacterial small subunit ribosomal RNA", at positions 30 to 523 of the family's 1533-position model. The record is from RNAcentral.